CUUGCUGCUUAAUCGAAGUAUAGUAGAUUAGCUUAAUUUCGGCACAAGGUGCUGAAACAAGACAUCUCUCAGAUGCCAUCGCGCCGAGGCGGUCUGGUUCAGAGGUGCUAUAAAUUCGGGGCUGGUUGUCAGUGGCUGUGCACUGUCAAUGAGAUUUUAGCAGAUAAGGCGACAGUUGGUGGCUUCGGUCUUGCUGUCGUUCGAAAAUCAAGGCGAAGAUAAGCAUGUAGAAAGCGUAUUGCUUCCUCGUUCGGACACGGGUUCGACUCCCGUCAGCUCCACAA
This 284-nucleotide transfer-messenger RNA is filed under the name Paludibacteraceae bacterium. RNAcentral's name for it is "partial transfer-messenger RNA". It matches the Rfam family "transfer-messenger RNA", at positions 82 to 374 of the family's 374-position model. From Rfam's summary of the family: Bacterial tmRNA, also known as 10Sa RNA or SsrA, is named for its dual tRNA and mRNA-like properties. Its role is to liberate the mRNA from a stalled ribosome. Lineage: Bacteria; Pseudomonadati; Bacteroidota; Bacteroidia; Bacteroidales; Paludibacteraceae. The record is from RNAcentral.